Molecule: unclassified non-coding RNA, 1327 nt
Filed under: Hevea brasiliensis (rubber tree)
Lineage: Eukaryota; Viridiplantae; Streptophyta; Magnoliopsida; Malpighiales; Euphorbiaceae
Source: RNAcentral
UCCAUUUGGCAUGUACUCAUAAACAAGUGCUCUGAAAUCAUUUCCCUGAUAACAGUUAUGAUCUUUGCAAGAUUUCAGUGGCGUAUGUUUCUCAAGGCUUUACACUCGGCCAUAAAACUUCUUACGGCACCAUGCCGUUGAUGAUUGAAUACGUUGAUCACAACAGAGAAUCCUUCAUUAAAAAUGCCUUUGUAAACUGAGCCAAAGCUUCCCGCACCAACUAAAUUUGUUGAAGAGAAUCCAUCAGUUGCUUUAGGAAUCCUGUCAUAUGGAAGUUUUUGAAAUGACUCCAUUUCCAAGGAAUCAGGAGAUUGCUGUCUUUUGGUCUUCCUGAACCUAUAGUUCAGGAAGGUUAACAGCAUAAUGACACAAGAAACACAUGGUAUGGCUAUUACAACUAUUUUUACAAUUUGUUGCUUGGUCUUCUGUUUCAUUGUUUUAAUGAUGCAUCUAGGCAAUUGUAGUUCUGGUAUGCCCCCACAUAGCCUGAUGUUUCCUUCAACUAAAUUUGCAUUUUUAUUUGCAAAAACGACUUUGAUAGGAACCUUGCCCUCAAAAUUGUUGAAGGAGAGGUUCAAAUAUUCCAGUGCAAAAUUCUCUAAAAAUUCUGGAAUUUUUCCAGAGAUGUUUUUUGACAGGUCGAAUUGUUUAAGACCCCUUAAUGAAGCUACCGACCCAGCUAUGGUACCUUGAAAGUUGUUACCAUCCAUGUAAAGAAACUCAAGGCUAUUGCACUGACCAAGGUUGUUUGGAAUUUGUCCAGACAACAUGUUUUGAGAAACAUCCAAUGUAUUCAAAUUGAAUAAAUUGCCAAUCUCUGAAGGAAGAGGUUCCACCAAAUGGUUUUGAGAUAGAUCUAUUCCAACUAACUUGGAUUGGAUAGCUAAAAGCUGUUUUGGAAUGGAACCGCUCAAUUUGUUUUGAGAAAGAUUCAAGAAUAGUAACUCGUGGCAAUUUCCAAGGCUGGAAUGGAUGGUGCCUUCUAAUUGAUUUUGCUGCAAGUGAAGUUCAUUCAACAAUGAUAAAUUUCCUAUAGAGGAAGGAAUUGCUCCUGAUAGUCUAUUGUAGUUGAGAAAUAAGCGUUGUAGUUUUCGCUGCUUACCAAAUUCCGUUGUAGUUUUCGCUGCUUUCCAAAUUCUGUAGAAAUAGUGCCUGUGAUUUUGUUAAAUUGAAGAUCCAUUGUCGACAAGCUGACGAGAUUAGAUAAGCCAGGAGGAAGGCUACCAUAUAUUUGAUUUUCACUGAUAAACAUCCACUCAAGUGUAGAAGAUAGAUUAGCCAUGGAAUUGGGCAAGACUCCCUUAAAUCGGUUGUUGGAUAAAUAUAG